This 38551-nucleotide long non-coding RNA is filed under the name Malus domestica (apple). Its description in RNAcentral is "long non-coding RNA (MDOM_LNC001224)". The record is from RNAcentral. Lineage: Eukaryota; Viridiplantae; Streptophyta; Magnoliopsida; Rosales; Rosaceae.
CUAUGUUAACAAACUGGUAGUUGCCUGAGUUGCAAGCAUCUACUAGGGUUCCUUCGUUGCCGUUUUGUCCCCAAUACGUUGCGAUUCCGGCGGCUUGAGAGGACUUGCAUGAAGAAAUGAGAAUCAAGAGGAACAGCGUUAGGGCUAGGGUUUGUGUUUUGGUUGCCAUUUUGUAUGUGUUUUUUUUGUUGUUGCUCAAAGUGCUUGGGAGGGUACAUGUAUUUAUAGGUGCAGGGGACUUGUCGGUGAAGGUUUAGGGGAAGAGAAGUAUGACAGACGUGUCUUGCAGGUACAAAAUGGAUGCCAGUCUUCUGCUUGGAUCCGCGUCAACCAAGUUAGGGCCUGUUUAGUCCAAGUUUCACUUCACAACUUAGAAAUUUGUGAAUUAAGUUAGGUCGUGUUGCACGUUCUUUUUUCAAAAACCACUCAUAAGCGCUCUUAAUAUUUUUCGUAAGAAUGCAAGUGUUUUUAGAAAAAACACUCGAGAUGCUUAGCGUGUGAUUUUUCUAGAAAGCACUUUUAAGUGUUUUUUCAACCUAAAACACUUCAAAACCCUUUUAGUUGUUUUAAAGACACUUCCAACAGACACAAAAUGAAAAAUUACUUCCAAAGAGAAAUAUAGCAUGCUAUUUGAGAGAUUCCUAAACUAAAUAGCUAUUAAGCGUGACCUUAACCACUUAAUUAGGUGAAAUAAAAUAUCAAAUUUGACAAACAAUCUGAUGAACGCCAUAGCUAUAUGUUUAGUCAGUGGAUGAGAUAAUCAUGAAACAAUACGUGGAGAAUCAACACAGCCUUAUCAUCGCCAAAAAAUUUCAGCAUGCCAGAAACACGACCUGGUACAAUACUCUUGGUACCUCAAUUGUUGUCUUUAUUCCUGCAGAACCACAUGAGUGAGAUGUUUGCUUACCAUGCAACCAUGAUGUCCAAUACUCUUGGUACCUCAAUCGUUGUCUUUACCAAAACUGGUUUUAUGGCUUAUUCUAUUGAUCCAUUACCGACCUACGUAUACCGUGACCAUAUUUGCCUUUACGAAUGAAUGAGUUUUCAUGUUACCUCUCACAAAGGCAUUAGUUAAAAUUUUAACUGUAUCAGUUAUAUAGUACGCUGUGCAAGUUCUAUUCAUUAGCAAGUACUUUGAUUGUCAUGCAGUAAGAGCAUACAACGGAGAUUGGCUUUGUAUCAAGGCGUAUGUCCCAUAUACAUGGAGUUCCCAGAAGAUUCUGAAACAAGCUUUAGCAAUGCCUUGACUGUGCUGAAGGUGUUUUGCUGCAUAUUUCCUAAAUUUAUGGCGACGUAUGCUAUUCAACCAUGUCAGCACUGAUGGUGCAUUUUCUGGUGUUUUGUUUACAGGAGCAAGGAUUGGUAAAGGCAGGAGAAGAGGUCGCACUCGUUCAAAGUGGCAGGCAACCCAUUUGGCGGCUCCAACCCACUCACAACAUUCAAGUGCGAAAGUUUAGGUGCAACGUAGAUGGAAAACUCGUAGCUUUUGUGUUGUACUUCCAGUUGAAUGUCGUGAUAGUUUCUGAUGAAAUUGGGUUCCACCAUAAAACCAAUUGGCAAUAUGGGGAGUAGCCAAAGAUCAUAUAAGCACAUAGUAAACCUUGUCCCUCAUCAAUGUGGGACAACUCUCAACAUACCCCCGCACGUGUGACGGAAUUUCAAUCCUACACGUGGACAACAACUGGAUGACGUAGAGUGCGUGUGGCCGUUGGGCUUCACACGUGGACAACCUUGCUCUGAUACUAUGAUGAAAUUGGAGUUCCACCAUAAAACCAAUUAGCAAUAUGAGGAGUAGCCCAAGAUCAUAUAAACAUAUAAUAAACCUUGUCCCUCACCAAUGUGUGACAACUCUCAACUCCAAUGUGGGACAACUCUCAACAGUUUCUUGCUUUGGUUGUUUAAUUUUACUUCUGUUGCACACUUUUGUGGUCCUAUCUGCUUCUUUUUGUAUCCCUCUUUCCCCCUAAUUAGUUUGGGUGUAUGUUUUAGAACAGUAAGUUGUUUCAGUAUAAAUUUGGCAGUUUGAAUGAAAUGUCUUAACUUUUUACUCAAACUGUCUAAUUUUUUUUAAUUGUUUGAUUGAGGAGACAGAUUGUCACCUUAUAAUAUCCGCAGCAUAUACCGUUUGUCGCGUGGCCGUUGAACAUUGACUAGGUUAGGAUUAAGAUUGAGAGAGUCUGGUGCUUUUGUGAAUGUUAUUUUAUAGAUAGCGUGAUUAUACAGAUGGCAAAGCGCUUGAACUGGACUCGACAGAAUGAGGUAUUUAUUAACUAAGGUCAAAAGUCAAGCAAAAAUUGUUGAUAGGGACUUCAUAAACAAAAUUAAACAACAUUCGUUUGUAUAAUUAUCAAACCGACAAUAUCUUAGGGUGCUAUCCACACAUUCUUUUUUAUCUUUUGCACACUCCUCUCAAUUUUUAACUGCUAAAUCAAAUGAAUUGAAGAAUAUCAAAUAACAAAAAUUAACAGAGAAUGUGUGAAAGAUAAAACUGAGUGUAUAGAUAGCAUCACCCUAUCUUAUUAAGAUAAUGACAUCCUAUUUAUUUGAUAUAAUCUUUUAGGGACUAACCAAAACAUUGAGUUGCAAAAGUCAAACUCUUCCGAUGAUGGAAGAACUAAAUCCACUUUUAUCAUCACAAAACUUAACAUCACACCACCAUACUUCGACGACUUCUUUAUCACCAGUAGAAUUUCCGAAUUCAGCGAAGCAGCCGGAAUAUACCCACUUACGGCCGCUCAGGAGCCGCCGGCAACCCCAAAAACAUCUUUCUCAUACAAUGAUGUCACUUGGCGUCUUAACAAGGUGGGAGACUUUGGGAGGACUUUAUUGGGUAUUUCCAAGUACUCGGUACUCUAUGUAUUUUAACCAUUAGAUCUUUGUUUAGAAAUAUAAAAAUCAAAAUCUAACGGUUAAAACAUCCAAUGUACCAGUAGUACUGCUCAAAUUUUUUUGAGACAUUGAAUGCAAUCCCUCCAAAAAAUUAAUAGGUUAUACAGUAGUACCACUUCAACCGUGAUACUUUCAUUCAAAGGCUAGUUUUAUACUAAUAUGUGAUGCUUUCAUUCCAUAUUUGAGAGGGCCUUUGAAUAAGUAUAAAGCUAGCCUUUACAAUAUGAGCUAGCUAGCCUCCAUACACACAGUGCCUGCCAAUCAUGUAAAACCAUAGACAAUGAUACAAGACAAUUUAUUUGGACCUAUAAUUUCUUUUCAUAACUACAUCACAUCGCCCUUUAUGUAAAACUAUAUUUUAUUCAAUUUCAAAAAUUAGUACAUGCAAUAACAUGUUUUAUCAUAAAAAAUACGAUAAAUUUCAGGCCUCGUUUGGCAGCUCAGACUGUACUGACUAUUUCUGUCGGAUAGGAUAAAUAGUCAUCGGAUAGUACUGACUAAAUUAGUCGGGCGUUUGGUGCAGUAUCGGACUAAUGACUGUAUUAUUUAUACUGUGUUUGGUAUUAUACCGGAUAGAAGGAAUCAAACUUAAAAUAAAAUUAAAAAAAAAAUUAAAAUCAUCUCUCUUGUUCCAUAUCUCUCCGCCGCACCCCCCCAAACUCCCUCCCUUUCUAUCCCUUCCUCUUCUUCCCCGUCUGCUCCCCUGAACUAAACCCCACCACAAAGGCAGCAACAAGAAACCCAUCUUUCAAAUUCUCAUCGUUUUUUUCCCAAUCCUUAUUUUUUUUUAGCUACAAAUCAACCCAGCAAAAAAACACACCACAAACCAAGAAAAUUCACACAAAGGACUUUGUUUUCUAUUAGUCCUAAAAAACAAUUGGAAGGAAAUUCACGGAGGACACCUUUUUUUCAACAAACCAAGAACACUCAUCGGAGAGAAAAAUGGGGCUGACUGUGAUUUUGGGCAUUAGGUUGGGGAAAAGCAUUGACAAAAUUCGAUUUGGAGGAGGGGAAGAGCUGAGUGACGCCUCCAGUUGGCGAAUUCCUCAGCUUCCAUCCGCCCCUUUCUAUAUAUCCCUGUGGAAUAUGUUGUUUCGCUACUGGUCUCCUUUUGUCUCUCUCUCACUCUCUUCUUUGUUCCUCUGUGUGCUUUCCGUCGGACGAGACGGGAAAUUAGUCGGCGAAUGACUGCAGAGGAGUGGCGCCCGGGGUGGAGAACUCGUCGAGGAACUACUCGAAGGCCCACUUUGAGAAGUCGUUAACGGCGGCUUUGUGAAGUUGGAGAGGACAGCGCCCUGACUAAUUAUCCCGAGCUUUUGGGCUGUUUUAAUAGUACGUUGUCAACCGUAUAAAAUUUGAUGGGCCGGAUAAUUAAGCGGGUGCUUAUUUAGUACGAGAGUGCACCAAACAACAGCUCCUGUAUUACUUAUCCUAUCCGAUGCUUUAUACGGCGUGCCAAACGAGGUGAGCGUGUAUUAGAAAUACGGGAUGGUAAAUCACAUAUUAUUAUAUAAGUGAAAAAAAGUUUUAUUUUUUUAAGUGUGCCUCCACUUAUAUAAUAUAUUGUACUACCCAAAUUCUGAAUAAGUAAAAGAUCUCUCCGAAAAAUACAUAUGCAUGUUUUAUUCAAAAGGUAAGGAAUGAUGCGUCAUCAUCCCUAAUACACUUUAUUAUAGUAGUAGCAUCAAUUGAGGCAGAGAAGUUAAUUAGAUGCUGUCCUUAAUGGAUGCACUAUAACCGUUGUCAUAGAACCUGUUCCAAAGCAUAACUCCUCCGUACUUGGGCGAAUUCUUAAUCGUUGGAAGAACUUGUGACUUGAGAGCGUCAGCAGGAAUAAAUCCGCCGCUCGGAGCGGCCUCAGGAGCUGCCGGUAACCCCAUGAACACCUGGGUGGCCGGAACCGAGGCCCAUUGGUUCCAACUGCUCAAAAGAGCGUCGGCAUUACCGUCCGCAUACUGGCAUUGGGGGUUGUUGUAGAACUGGACCCAAACGUAGUCAAAUAAACCGGUUUGGAUAGCGCCGUCUAGGUGAGCAUCCGGGAUCGGACAUUGUGGAGCUGCGGCUAAAUAGACCGUUUUUGCCUGUCCGUUGUGUCCGUUGAGUGACUUGGCGAGCUCAUCAUAGAACUGCGCACCACCCGCCUCAAUGUCGAAAUCAACGCCGUCCAAAACCGCGUCCCCAAGCGGGCGCGAAGCUGACUGACCACCUAAGAAGUUGUUCCAGAUGUAAUCAGCAACUUGCCUUGCAUCAUCAGCUGAAGUGAGAGAGUAACUUCCGGCGGCCCCUCCAAUCGAGAGGAGGACUUUUAUGUUUUUUGAUUGGCAGGUUCUGAUGUCGGCACUCAGCCCGGUGCAAGUACCACUAGCGGGGUCGCAGUGGCCGGCGAGGUUUAGGACAGGGGUUUGGUUGUUUCCGAAAGUAGUGAGGAAAGCUAUGUUAACAAACUGGUAGUUGCCUGAGUUGCAAGCAUCUGCUAGGGUUCCUUCGUUUCCGUUUUGGCCCCAAUAGACCGCAAUUCCGGCGGCUUGGGAGGACUUGCAUGAAGAAAUGAGGAUCAAGAGGGACAGCGUUAGGGCUAGGGUUUGUGUUUUGGAUGCCAUUUUUAUAUGUUUUUUUGGGUUGUUGUUCAAAGUGCUUGGGAGUGGACAUGUACUUAUAGGUGCAGGGGACUUAUCGGUUAAGGUUUAGGGGAAGAAAAGUAUGACAGACGUGUUCUGCAGGUAAGAGUCUUCUGCUUGCAACCGCGUCAAUCACGUUAGGGCCUGUUUAUUUAGUCCAAGUUUCACUUUACAACUUAGAACACGUCAAUUAAAUUAGGUCGGGUUGAAAAUGCAUUUUCCAAAACCACUUUCACACAUAAGCGCUUCUUAUAUUUUCAUAAAAAUGCAAGUGGUUUUAUAAAAAAAAAAACUUGAGGUGUUUGGCGUGUGUUUUUUCAGAAAGCACUUAAAAUAUUUUUUCAACCUAAAAUCACUGAAUUUUUUAUGAUUUCAAAGUUCUUUUAAUUGUUUUGAAGGCACUUCCAACUGAUAUUUUAUAAAAAAUUACUUCUAGAGAGAAUUAUAGCAUGCUAAUUGAGAGAUUCCGAAACUAAAAAGCCAUCAAAUUUGCCAAAAAAAAAAUCUGAUGAGACAAUACGUGGAGAAUCAACACAGCUGUAUCAUCACCAAAAAUUUUCAGUGUGCAGAAAUACAGUCCGGUACAAAGUGUUAUAAUAAAAUUGGUUGAUUUUUUUUUUUAAGUUUCCAACUAAUUAUAUUAUUACACUUGAUGUACCGAUCCGUAUUUCUGAAAAAUCUCUCCUUACCAUCACAUCACAUGAAUGUUUUGGAAAGUUCGUAGAUAGAAACCAAAAUCUCUCCUUAUCAUCACAUCACAUCACAUGAACGUUUGGGAAGCUCGUCGAUAGAAACCAAAUGGAAUAUGCUUUUAGCUGAGGAUGGCCAUUGGCCAGGGACUUCGGUCUAAUCACGAUGCUUUAAUUUCGCAGUCGGAAAAAAACUUUCGAAUAAAAUUUAGGGUAUAUUUAGGAAGUGUUUUUAAAUGAUUGAAAACAUUUUUAGAAAUAUUUUUUUUUAAAAACGUUUCCAGUCAUUUAAAAAAACUUCUUAAACGAGUUUAAUUACUUGUGUAUGGGGCAACAUUUAGCUAGUAAUGGUUCUCAUGAAUUGGAUUGUGGUGAUGUGAAAAUGGGUUUGGGUUAGUUUAGUUUAGAGUUUAUAUUUACUAUCCGGUGCAUGCAAAUGGAAUGUCAAAUCUUUCAGAGAAAUUUUGAUAGAACUGCCACUUAGGGCAACACAUAUUAAACAAACAAAUGUAGGGUUGGAGAAGACUAAAAUACAUGAAUUCUCGUGUUUUCAUAAAUGUGAUCUAAAAAUAAUAUAGCAUGUGCCCUGAGAACAACGUGAUCAGUACCUAAUCGAAGUUCUCUAGUGUGGAAAGAUUCAAGAGGGGUGUGACGCUUCCGACAAAUAAAAAAUCACACAUUUUCGAAUUCGGAAAUGUAUAGAACAGAGCAGAUAUCACUAGAUGAAUGUUAACUGUUUUACAGAAAAUUUAUAAGACAAUUAGAGUUAAACAACAGAAGCUUGCACUUUAAAUGGUUAUGUCCAGCUGCUUUUGGUAUGUAUAUGCUUUUUCCAUGUCUCGAUGUAGUUCCAGUUCACUGCUCAUCAUCCUGGAACAAUGCUUUCGAAACAGAGCCGCACGGCUGGCUACUGUAUUCUCGGUAAUCUUCAUCGUCAUCACAGCUGCGUUGCGAGCAUGAACGUUUGAUUCCUGUCAUUGGGGUUUCACAGACUCUGUCAUCGCAUGAACCUCUAUGAUCCUUCCUUUUAAACAGCUUUCGAAGCGGAUUUGACUUUGGUUUCAAUGGUUUCAGCCGUUUGGGGGCCCAAACUCUCUGCAGAUCGGGCAUCCAUCUUGUGGAUGAAGCGAAUCUCCAAGCCCUCUCUCUCCUCUCUUGAGCUUCAAGUAACUUGCGAGCAUGGUCGUCCUAUUGUUUGAUCUCUUCGACGCUUGGUCUUCCAAUAUCAGUUUUCAGCGGACGAAGAGACUCACCUUCUGCUUGUAAUGAGUCCCAGAUUCUAUAACUUCCAUCCACUUCGACACUCUUCGGUUUUUCUUUACAGGAUCGAUUGCUAUCCUCACUGUUGAGUAAACUAUUAGGGAGUUCUUCCUCAUCAGCAAACAGUAACAAAUCCAUUUUCGUAUAGAUUUUGUGAACCACAUCUUCAAGUGUCUCACAGUACCUGAAAAAUGUCCAAAUUCAGGCUCUUGACAAUUUGACAAAGCAUUUCAUUGAAAAGGUUCAAUCCUUACUACCAUUAUAAUUUAUAAUGUGUUGUAUGGUUUACCUCGUAAUGGUGCUAAGUUAUUUCUACAGUUUUGGGGCAUUUUUUUUGCAGUUUCGGUGCAAUUUUGAUGCAGUUCUUUUUUUUUGCAAUUUUGCUGCAUUGUUGUUGCUGUUUUUGCUGCAUGUUCAUUGAUUAAUAAAAAGGUCGUACCCAGUGCACAAGGCUCCCUUGAUUAAUAUAUGAGAAAAAUAAGACUGUCAUAUGCUUAAAUAGGUGUAUAUUUUAAAUUAUACAUUUUUUUUUCAAAAAUCGAACCGAAACUGUUUGAAACCGUACCGCACCAAACCAAACGGUUUGGUUUCAUUUCAGUUUUGGCUUCAAAACUGCACCGAACCGCACCGCAAAAAAAUUUGGUUUCGGUUGCGGUUUCACUCGAAACCGCACCGAAGCGCACCGCGCCCACCCCUACAGGGGACUUGUCGAUGAAGGUUUAGGGGAAGAGAAGUAUGACAGACGUGUCUUGCGGGUACAAAAUGGGUGCCAGUCUUCUGCAUGCAUGGAACCGCGUGAACCAAGUUAGGGCCUGUUUAGUCCAAGUUUCACUUGACAACUUAGAAAUUUGUCAAUUAAGUUAGGUCGUGUUGGAAAUUCUUUUUUCAAAAACCACUCAUAAGUGCUUUUAAUAUUUUUCGUAAGAAUGCAAGCGUUUUUAGAAAACACACUCAAGGUGCUUAGCGUGUGCUUUUUUUUAGAAAGCACUUUUAAGUGUUUUUUCAACCUAAAAACACUUGUUUUAAAGACACUUCCAACAAACACAUAAUUAAUGGAAAAUUACUUCCAGAGAGAAAUAUAGCAUGCUAUUUGAGAGAUUCCAAAACUAAAAGCUAAAUAGUUAUUAAGCGUGACCUUAACCAAGGUGAAAUAAAAUAUCAAAUUUGACAAACAAUCUGAUGAACGUCAUAGCUAUAUGUAUAGUCAGUAGAUGAGAUAAUCAUGAAACAAAACGUGGAGAAUCAACACAGCCUUAUCAUGGCCAAAAUUUGUCUGUGUGCCAGAACCACGGCCUAGUACACUAAAAGUGUCAUAAUAGAAUUGGUUGGAAAUUCAUUCGGUUACAACUGACUCUGAAGUCUUUAUUUCUGCACAACCACAUAGUGAGAUGUUUGCUUACCAUGCAACCAUGAUGUCCAAUACUCUUGGUACCUCAAUCGUUGUCUUUACCAAAACUGGUUUUAUGGCUAUUCUAUUGAGCCAUUACCGACCUACCGGGAUCAUAUUUGCCUUCACGAAUGAGUGAGUUUUCAAUUUACCUGUCACAAAGGCAUUUAGUUAAAAUUUGUAACUGUAUCAGUCAAAAUAUGCUGUGAAAGUUCUAUUCAUUAGCAAGUACUUUGAUUGCCAUGCAGUAAGAGCAUACAACGGAGAUUGGCUUUGUAUCAAGGCGUAUGUCCAAUAUAUACAUGGAGUUCACAGAAGAUUCUGAAACAAGCUUUAGCAAUGCCUUGACUGUGCUGAAGGUGAUGUUUUGCUGCAGAUUUCCUAAAUUUAUGGCGACGUAUGCUAUUCAACCAUGCCAGCACUGAUGGUUCAUUUUCUGUUGUUCUGUUUGCAGGAGCAAGGAUUGGUAAAGGCAGGAGAAGAGGUCGCACUCGUUCAAAGUGGCAGGCAACCCAUUUGGCGGCUCCAAUCCACUCACAAAAUUCAAGUGCGCAAAAUUUAGGUGCAACGGAGAUGGAAUAAUCGCCCUCGUAACAUAGAUUUCUUCGUCUACACUACAAAAGUUUCAAAUGAUAGCUUUUGUGUUGUACUUCCAGCGGAAUUGUCGUGAUACUUUCUUCCUUUGGUUGUUUUUUUUCUUCUGUUGCACACUUUUGUGAUCCUAUCAAUGUGCUUCUUUUUGUUUCCGAUUUCCCCCUAGUUAAUUUUGGCGUAUGUUUUAGAACUGUAAGUUGUUAAAGUAUAAAUUUGGCAGUUUGAAUGCAAACUGUCUAAAUUUUUUUAAUAGUUCGAUUGAGGAAACAGAUCGUCACACUCACAUUCUAAUAUCCGCCGCUUACCGUUUGUCGUGUGGCCGUUUAACACUGACUAAGGUAGAUCUCACAUCAGAUCAGCACGGGACUAGGUUCCGUGCUCUUGUGAAAGUUAUUCUACGUACGACGUGAUUCUACACAUGGUUUGUGGUUUGGGCUUGAACCGGUCUCUACGAAAUGAGGCAGAUUUUUUGUUUAUUAACAAAGGUCAAAAGUCAAACAAAAAUUGUUGAUACAGACUAUCUUAAACAAAAUUAAACAACAUUCGCUUGAAUAAUUAUCAAAUUGACAAUGUCUCAUAGGUGAUGCUGUCCAUACACUCUUUUUAUUUUUCACUCACUCCUCCCAAUUUUUAACCGUCAGAUCGAAUAAAUUAAAGAUGAUCAAAAGACAAAAAUUAACUGAAGAUAUGUGAAAGAAAAAACAAAAUGUAUAUAUAGCAUCACCUAUCUUAUUAGGAUAAUGACAUCCGAUUUAUUUGAUAUAAUCUUUUAGGGAAACCAAAACGUUGAGUUACAAAAGUCAAACUCUUCCGAUGAUGGAAUAACUAUAUCCAUUUUUAUCAUCACAAAACUCGGACCCUAACAUCACACCACCAUACUUCGACGACUUCUUUAUCACCAGUAGAAUUUCCGAAUUCAGCAAAGCAGCCACAAUAUACCCACUUCUGGCCACCUCAGGAGUGGCCGGCAACCCCAAAAACAUCUUCCCUUUCUAAUACAUUAAUGAUGUCAGUUGGCGUCUUAACAAGAUGGGAGACUUUGGAGUCGCUUUAUUGGGAUCUCCCGAGUACUCGGUACUCUAUGUAUUUUAACCGUUAAAUCUUUGUUUAAAAAUAUAAAAAUCAAAUUCUAACAGUUAAAAUAUUCAAAAUAUCCAUAGUACCGCUCGAAAUUUUUUGAGACAUUAAAUGCAAUCCCUCCAAGAAAUCAUCUCAAAUUUUUUUGAGACAUUAAAUGCGAUCUCUCCAAGAAAUUAUUAGAUUAUACCGUAGUACCAUCUCAGCCGUGGUAGUUUCAUCCAAAGGCUAGCCUUUACAAUAUGAGCUAGCCAGCCUUCAUGCACACAGUGCCUGCCAAUCAUGUAAAACCAUUGACAAUGAUACAUGACAAUUUAUUUGGACCUAUAACUUCAUUUCAUAACUACAUCAGAUAACCGUUUAUGUGCAACUAUAUUUUAUUCAAUUUCAAAAAUUAGCAUAUGCAAUGACAUGUUUUAUCGUAAAAAGUACAAGAAAUUUUCAACGUAUCACAAAUACAAAGUGUUAUACCACAUGUCAUUAUAUAAAGAGAAAUUUUUUAUAUUUUAAGUCUGUCUCCACUUAUAUAAUAUGUGUUGUACCAUCCGAAUUCCGGAUCAGUAAAAGAUCUCUCCAAAAAUACAUAUGCAUGUUUUAUUCAAAAGGUUAGGAAUGAUGCGUCAUCAUCCCUAACGCACUUUAUUAUAAGUAGUAUCAUCCAUUGAGGCAGAGAAGUUAAUUAGAUGCUGUCCUUAAUGGAUGCACUAUAGCCGUUGACAAUGUCAUACUGCCUGCCCCAGAGCAUAAUUCCUCCGUACUUGGGCGAUUUCUUAAUCGUUGGAAGAACUUGUGACUUGAGAGCGUCAGCAGGAAUAAAUCCGCCGCCCGGAGCGGCCUCAGGAGCUGCCGGUAUACCCAAGAACACCUGGGUGGCCGGAACCGAGGCCCAUUGGUUCCAACUGCUCAAAAGAGCGUCGGCAUUACCGUCUGCAUACUGGCAUGGGGGGUUGUUGUAGAACUGAACCCAAACGUAGUCAAAUAAACCGGUUUGGAUAGCGCCGUCUAGGUGAGCAUCCGGGAUCGGACAUUGUGGAGCUGCGGCUAAAUAGACCGUUUUUGCCUGUCCGUUGUGUCCGUUGAGUGACCUGGCGAGCUCAUCAUAGAACUGCGCACCACCCGCCUCAAUGUCGAAAUCAACGCCGUCCAAAACCGCGUCCCCAAGCGGGCGCGAAGCGGACUGACCACCUAAGAAGUUGUUCCAGAUGUAAUCAGCAACUUGCCUUGCAUCAUCAGCUGAAGUGAGAGAGUAACUUCCGGCGGCCCCUCCAAUCGAGAGGAGGACUUUUAUGUUUUUUGAUUGGCAGGUUCUGAUGUCGGCACUCAGCCCCGUGCAAGUACCACUAGAGGGGUCGCAGUGGCCGGCGAGGUUUAGGACAGGGGUUUGGUUGUUUCCGAAAGUAGUGAGGAAAGCUAUGUUAACAAACUGGUAGUUGCCUGAGUUGCAAGCAUCUGCUAGGGUUCCUUCAUUGCCGUUUUGGCCCCAAUACGUCGCGAUUCCGGCGGCUUGGGAGGACUUGCAUGAAGAAAUGAGGAUCAAGAGGGACAGCGUUAGGGCUAGGGUUUGUGUUUUGGAUGCCAUUUUUGUAUGUUUUUUUGGGUUGUUGUUCAAAGUGCUUGGGAGUGGACUUGUACUUAUAGGUGCAGGGGACUUAUCCGUUAAGGUUUAGGGGAAGAAAAGUAUGACAGACGUGUUCUGCGGGUUAGAAAUGGGUGCCAGUCUUCAGCUUGGAACCUCGUCAAUCAAGUUAGCUAGGGCCUGUUUAGUCCAAGAAGUUUCACAUAAAACGCCGAUUAAGUUAGGUCGGGUUGGAAAUGCUUUCUUCAAAAACUACUUACACACGUAAGCGCUUCUUAUAUUUUUCAUAAGAAUGCAAGUGCUUUUGAAAAAAAACACUUGAGCUGUUUCGUGUGUUUUUUUCAGAAAAUACUUUAAAUGUUUUUUCAAACUAAAAAUCCAUUAAAGCUCCUUUACUUGUUUAAGGGCACUUCCAAAAUCAUAUUUAAAGAAAAAUUACUUCUAGAGAGAAUUAUAACAUGCUAAUUGAGAGAUCCCGAAACUAGAAACUAGAUAGUUAUAAUGAAGCGUGACCUUAACUGCUUAAUUAAGUGAAAAAAGCCAUCAAAUUUGACAAAAAGUCUGAUGAAAGGUCAUAGCUGUAUCAUCUGUAGAUGAGAUAAUCAUGAAACAAUGUGGGGAAUCAACACAUCCUUAUCAUCGUCAAAAAAAAAAAUUCACUGUGCUGGAAGCACGUUCAAUUGAACGUUUUGGAAGUUUGUGGAUAGAAACCAAAUGGAAUAUGCUUGUAACCAAAAUUGCUGGCUGCUAUAUACAUCUUGGAUUUUAGCUGAGGUGGCCAUUGGCCAAGGACUUUGGUCUAAUCACGAUGCUUUAAUUUCGCAAUCCAAAAAAAAAAUUCAGAUAAAAUUUAGAACACGUUUUGGGAGUGCUUUCAAAUUACUGAAAGCGAUUUUAGAAAGAAAAAAAAUGUUUAUAUAACUAAUCUUUAAUAAAAAUGCAAGUUAAUCCUCCAAAAGUACUGAAACUAGUGCUUCUUUGAUAAAACACUUCAAGUGCUUUUGGAGCUCAAAAAUAUUAUCUCAAGUGGUUUCAGUCAUUUAAAAACACUUUCUAAACGAGUUAAUGACUCGUGUAUGGGGCAACAUUUAGCAAGUAACGGCUCUCAUGAAUUGGAUUGUGGUGAUGUGAAAAUGGGUUUGGGUAAGUUUAGUUUAGACCAGUCAGCAGUGUUUAAAAUAUCCACGACAUUAUCGAUAUUUUCGUUGAAAUAUCCUUAAAAUUAAGGGUCCAUAAGCAAAAGAAGGAUGAAAUGCAAACUUCACCCUAUAUCGGCAAGAUACAAGAAAACAAUGAAUAUAGACAAUAUGUAACAACUCGUCCCAAGAUUUACUGUAUAUAAAUGGUAUUUUUGUAUUUUCAUCAAGUUUGGGAAUUUAUCUUCCUUUUAAAAUUUGUUUUUGGUCUUAAAUGGUGAUCCAAGGGGACCCACUCCCCUGAUUUUGUCCCCGAGCCCUCUUCUCUCUUUCUUCCUCUCCUCUUCCCUUUCCCCUUUCCCGUAUACUUCUAUUCCUCUCUUCUCUAUGAUCACACUCACACCCAGCUGCACUCCCUGCUCGAGGAAGACGCAAUCACCAUCUAAACCACGUCCCUUUCCUCUUCCUCUUGCCUCUGUGCAACUCGGCGAAACCAAGAAAAUAACCUCCGGCAAGUCCGACGGCUUUCGAAGCCAUUUCCUGCCAAACCACGGCGCGUUGGCCGGCGUGCAAGGUAUCAAUCUCUUCGUCCCGUCAAGUACUAUAACUUUUCUUUUUGUUUCACUCAAUUUAAUUGAGUAUUGAAGAAGUUAUACUCAUUUGAAUCUUACCCAGUUUCCGGCGACCUCCGAGGCUUUCGAGGAAAUUUCAGGCCAAACCAUGGCGAGUCAGACGUGAGGUAUCAUUCUCUUCGUCUCUUCCAGGACUACAACUUUCGUUUUUGUCUCGCUUGAUUUCGUUGAGUAGUGACAAAGUUAUGGCUGUUUAAAGUGGGGUGGUUUUCCGGCCGAAUUUCCGGCCUUCUUCUUCCUUGGCAACAGGCCACCCGGCCUUUCCCUCUCCCUCGGACCUUAGGCCCGUGUUGUCUUAAGCCCAAAACCCUAGCCUUUAGUUUUAAGUUUUAUUAUUUGGUUUUAAAACCCUAAAAAGGGCCUUGGGCCGGUGGUUUUUAAAAAGGGCUUAAAGCCCUGUUUUUCUUUAUUUAUUUUUAUUAAGGCCUUAAGGCCUUGUGAUUUUGUGCCCGUGGGUGUGUGUGUUAGGUGUGUAUGUGUUUAUGCAUGCACAUGCAUGCCGUGUGUGUGUGUGUAUUUGUAGUAUGUGUGUGUUUGGGCUAAAGCCCAAACCCCAAUUCUCACCCUAAAACCAUUUUAACCCAAAAUCCUAGGUUCCUAAAAUCCUUUAAAACCCUAAACCCAUCCAAUCCCAAAUCCCCUAUUUUAUUUAAACCUAAACCCUAAUCCGGAUUUCAAGCCUAAAACCCAUUUGACCGUUGACCCCCGGUCAACGUUGAUUUUAGGGUUGACUUUUCGGGUUUUCGUCCGGGACCCUUCUUAGGGUAAUUCGACGUUCUAAAUCCGUUUCCAAUGUCCAUUUUCCCAAAUUCAAUUGUUAUUAUAUAGUUUUAUUUAUUGGACUCUUUAUGUGCUUAGGGGCAAUUAUUGUGACGUUUCCAUCUUCGCUAGUGGCACAGCUUUUGGCAACUAAGUAUUGUGAGUGGACCCCUUCUAGAAUUACAUGAUUUGAUAAUUUAAUUGCAUAAAUGAUUAGCAUGCCUACGAAUUUAUGAUUUGAUUUAUGUGAAGCCUGAUGAUUUAAUAUAUUGAUUAUCGUCUCGGGUUUUGGUGAGGAAUUAUUUGUUAGCCUAUAUUGAGCUAUAUUUUAAUAUAUCGUAUUUUCUAUUAAAACCAUGAACUGGUAGACUAUCUGAUAGAUGACGAUAGGAUGCUAGAACAUGUUUUUGAACCCCUCUUUAUAGUGUAGACGAUGAUCGGUAACCUAUGCUAUGAAGUGGUUUUUUUUAGAGAGACGUAACUAUUUGUGCGUACCUAGUAGACACUAUGCCGCCUGGGGCAAGGAACUGGUGUUGGCAUUUAGGCCGGGAGAAAUAAUCCCUAGCGAAAGGCUGAGGGACACGGAGACAGGCAGUGGGCCAAGAGGGAGUUAUCUCUGGCUACGGGCACAGAGACUGAGGUGCAAGCAUUGGGCCGGGAGUUAUAUUUAUUCAGUGAUCUUUCUAGCAGCACACUGCGUUUACGAGACGAUUUAUGAUGCGUUUACUGUUUUGAUUUCCGCGAUGUUUUUCCGCGUUAUGGCGUUUGAGAUAUUUUUGGCAUACUAGGAUUUUUAUUAAAUCCAUCACUUAUUAUGCUAGUAGUUUUCAUUUAUAUAAACUUUGGGGGUUAGUAUGUUGAUAAUUGUUUUAUUAUUAUUGUAUAUAUAAACUUGGUCCACUCACCUUUGUUUUGCGCCCCCAUUCAGGACUUAGAAUCAAGGCACCUAAUCCCGGCGUGAAGACACUUUCGCAGCAGCAUCUUCGGAUCCUCUCGAUGUAGGACUCACUCCUUUACUCAUUAAAUUUUAUCUUAAUUCUUUUUAGUGAUUAGAUUUAGUUGUAUGCUCUGAGCACGUUCCUAAAACUUUUAACUCUUAGUUUUUAAAUUCAUAACACUUACUUAUUUCUUAUUCUUAGCUUUUGUAUCAAUUAAUGGCUUUCGUCACCCUCGGGUGUCGGCCAGCAUGUGUCUUCCUGGUAUUCGGGGAAUAUCAGGGUCGGGGCGUGUCACAAUAUUUACGGAUUAAUUACAAAAUUUUGCUAAUACCUAUUGCAGAUUUCGAACUGUAGAAUUUUUUUUAUAAAUUUUUUCUUUAAUUUCAACUAAAUCUGAAUGAGUACUUACCCCAUUGUAAAUUUCCAUCGAAGACUUUCCAACUAUAUCGAUAUUUUAAACACUGGUUUAGACCAACAUGUUUAAUAUCCAGUGCAUGCAAAUAGAAUGUCAAAUCUUUUUGAAAAACUUCAGUAUGACUGCCACUUAAGGGCAACUAGCAUAUUAAAGAGACCAAUGCAAAGUUGGAUGAGACUAAAAUACAUAAAGUCUCAUGUUUUGGUGAGAUGUGGUUUACAAAUGAUAUAGCAUGUGCCCUACGAAAAACGAGAUCGGAUUACCUAAUUGAAGUUUCUCUAGCAUGAAAAAUUCAAGAGGGAUGUGACGGUUCCGGAAAGUAAAAAAUCACACAUUUUUAUUAAUAAUUUUUUUGUUCGAAUUCGGAAAUGUAUAGAACUGAACAAAUGGAAUAGUGGCUCAGUGAUACCAACAAUUUCAUGUUGCAAAUUACAAAAAAAAAAAAAAAAAAAAAAAAAAAAGGAAAUGUUUUACACAAAAUUAAUGACAAUUAGAGUUAAACAACAGAAACUUGCACUUUAAAUGGUUUUUUUCUGCUGCUUUUGGUAUGUAUAUGCUUUUUCCGCACCGCUGGCUACUGUAUUCUCGGUAAUUUUCAUCGUCAUCCCAGCUGCGUUGCGAGCAUGAACGUUUGAUUCCUGUCAUUGGGGUUUCACAUACUCUGUCAUCACAUGAACCUCCAUGAUCCUUCCUUUUAAACAGCUUUCGAAGUGGAUUUGACUUUGGUUUCAAUGGUUUCAGCUGUUUUGGGGCCCAAAUUCUCUGCAGAUCGGGCAUCCAUCUUGUGGAGUAAGCGAACCUCCGAGCCCUCUCUCUCCUCUCUUGAACUUCAAGUAACUUGCGAGCAUGGUCGUCCUUUUGUUUGAUCUCUUCAGCGCUCGGUCUUCCAAUAUCAGUUUUCAGCGGACGAAGAGACUCACCUACUGCUGGUAAUGAAUCCCAGAUUCUAUAACUUCCAUCCACUUCGACACUCUUCGGUUUUUCUUUACAGGAUCGAUUGCUAUCCUAACUGUUGAGUAAACUAUUAGGGAGUUCUUCCUCAUCAGCAAACAGCAACAAAUCCAUUUUCUUAUAGAUUUUGCGAACCACAUCUUCAAGUGUCUCACAGUACCUGAAAAAUUCCAAAUUCAAAGAUUAAUCUAUCUGCUUAAGUUAAUUUUCCAUCUCAAACAAAAAUUGAUUGCCCGCACAUGUACUUCCGGAAAACUAAUUCCAGGAACGGAUUAUUUAAGCAACAUCGUUUCUUCAAGGAUCAUACUGUAGACAUACACUAUUGGCACAUUGCAAAAGUUGUAUAAACAUAUUCCACACUCGUUCAGAAAAACAUGGGUACGAUGUGCGCAUAACUGGCCUAUAUCCUGUCAAUCUACACUGAUAAGGAAAGACACUUUAACUCAUCUAAGAUUAUAAAGACAACCACUUUCCUUAUUUAGCAUUGUUGCAAAGGUAAGUAGGACAUGAUUUGUUAGAUAGGUAGUAAUAUCCCACAUGAAAGUGGAACACAGUGGCACCGGAAAUGUGUAUUUGUUGAGACAUGAACGAUAGACUGAAUGCAGCGUGUGCUAUAUAGCCUUUCAGCGAAAGCCAUAAUGCCUCAGUAAAACAUCCAUUAUAUAAAGUAAAGAAUAAUUUCAAGGGUAGGGGUUUUCAACUGUGGUACAGAUUUAUUACCUGCUUUUUAUGAUCUUUUCAACAUAAUCAUACACUCCAGUCACCAAAGAAGCCCUCCAGAUGACAUCGAAUUUUCUCCAAAAAGGAGCAAAUCUGUUUUACAGACUUCUGUUUUGUAGAUUCAGCAAUACGUGCACCAACCUCUGAUUGUAGUAUCUCCAUCCGGAAAAAUAUCUGCAAUUCAUAUCGUGCACGAGCUGGCGCAAGGAGGCGGCGAAGCACGAAGCCCGGGGCGGCGAUGCCGGGUCGAGGCGAAAUGCGGGGAGGGAAUUGAGGGUUUGGGAGAGGGAAUUGAAAGUGGGGCCGGGGAGGUGGAAAGAGAGGGAGAGAGAAGUGGGGAGCUUGGAGGAGGAGAGCAGCGGAGAGAGGGAGGAGAAGAAGGGUCUGAAGGCGAAGAGAGAGGCGGAGAGAGGAGGGAAAGAGAGGAUGGUUUUGACGGCGGCGAGGAAGGCUGUGAGAAAUGGAGCUGGGUUUUGGAGGUGGAGGAGUGGGUUGAGGCCUAGGAGGAGGACGAUGCGCUGCGUUUUGCCGUAGUCGGCGAUUGGGUCGCCGGAGCUCCGUUCAGAUGCCAUCGCAUUUGCAGGAGGAGAAAGAGACGGACUUGGGUUGCAGAGAAGGGAGAUGCAAAUGUGGAAUUAAGGAACAGUAAACCGAAUACGCAGUCGUUUUAGUAGAAAAACGACGAUACGGUAGAUGCUUGAGCGGGAAACCAAAUUUUGGCUGUAAAGGAAAUGUUUUAGGCCCCGUUUGGGAUUGAGGUGAUUUUAAAAAAAGCCACUGUGAAAAAAAGCUGAGGGUCAUUUUUGUGUUUGGUAAACUGAAAAAAGGGCUUAUUUUGGAAGCUGCUGUGAAAAUAAGCUGAAAAUCAAAGGAAAAGCUGAAGCUGCUAUUUGCUGCUUUGAAAAAAAGCCAGUUUUUUCAAAGCACACAGAGCUACAAUGCUCCUUUAAUGAAAAGACACACUAUCAUCCUGAUUUUUUUUCCAAAAGCACUUUCACAAAAAAGUUUACCAAACACUCUACUGCUUUAUUUCACAGCCGCUUAUUCUCACAGCACAGCCGCUUAUUCUCACAGCAGCUUUUUUUCAAAGCACAGCAAUACCAAACCAGCCCUUAAUCUCAUGAAGGACCUGUUUGGACUGCAUCUAAAUUUGUUAAAAGCGCUUUUAGAGAACAAAAGAGCUUUUGACAUCAGUUGAAAAAAAAAAAAUAUUUAAAGUACUUCUUCACGUGAAAAAAACACAUGGUUUUUAAUGAAAAUUCCAACAUGAUUUGAAUGAAAGUGCUUUCAAAAAGUAUUAUGAAUAGAUAUGCUUUUUUAUAUGCUUCUAUGAAAAGUGCUUUUUGCAAACAAUGUCGGGCUCGUUUGUAAUUACUUUUAAAAUGGUUGAAAGUGUAUUUCGUAAAAAUAUUUUUAGAAACAAUAUUUAGUAAAAUGCAAGUGAAUCCUAAAAAAAACACUUCAAGAAUAGAACAACCAAAGGGGCGAAAACUGUAAACCUCAUAGCAACCGAAUUACAAUUCGAGAACAUACCCGUUACUGAAUCCCAAAUCGCUGGUUCCCAAGUGUAGUCAUGCACAAGCUCGUUUAGAACCAAUAUUUUCUCUAAGAACGAUUUCAAUCAUUUGAAAAACAUUUUUAAACGAACUGAUGUUUUUAGGAGAAACACAAUGAGGAGCAAAUGAUUCCUAGGCGAGAAGAAAAACUAGACAGAAUGUUAAAUAGCACAUUAUGUACCAAUUUUUCUUCAACAAAUUGGAACUACUGAGAAGUUUGGAAACUAAAAAGUAAAGAUUGAUUCUAAGGAUUCUAACCCUGAUGAUUGCUUAUACAGUCGAACUACUUGAAUAGACUGGACUACCGAAGAUAAACUCAUACAUAUACGAAUUAUUAAAAAGUGAAAGAGGCUCAUCUCAGUUUUUUUUUUUUUUUUUAGUUGAAAGAAAAAAAAGGUAAAACAUGGAGAAGAUCAUGAACAGUAAUGGGUUUUAGUAUAUAUAAAUAUAAUUUGUAACUGUAUCUGUCCAAAUAUGCCGUGCAAGUUCUAUUCAUUAGCAGGUACUUUGAUUGCCAUGCAGUAAGAGCAUACAACGGAGAUUGGCUUUGUAUCAAGGCGUACGUCCCAUACACCUCUUUUAUGGGUGAUGCUGUCCACACACUUCUUUUAAUUACCAGUCGUCAUAUAGAAUGAAUUCAAGAGGAUCAAAUGACUAAAAUUAACAGAGAAUAUGUAAAAGAUAAACCAGAGUGUAUGGAUAACACCACCCUAUCUUAUUAGGAUAAUAACAUCCGAUGUGUUUGAUAUAAUCUUUUAGGGACUAACCAAAACAUUGAGUUACAAAAGUCAAACACUUCCGAUGAUGGAAGAACUAUAUCCACUUCUAUCGUCACAAAACUUGGACAAUAACAUCACACCACCAUACUUUGACGACUUCUUUAUCACCGGCAGAAUUUCCGAAUUCAACAAAGCAGCCGGAACAUACCCACUCUUGGCCGCCUUAGGAGCCGCCAGCAACCCCAAAAACAUCUUCCCUGUCUAAUACAAUGAUGUCACUUGGCGUCUUAACAAGAUGGGAGACUUUGGAGGGACUUUAUUGAGUACUCCAGAGUACUCAGUACUCUCAUUUGUUUAAAAAUAUAAAAAUCAAAAUCUAACGAUUAAAACAUCUAGAGUAUCCAUAUAUAGUACUGCUCAAAACUUUUUGAGACAUUGGACGUGAUCCCUCCUAGAAAUUAUUAAGUUAUACAGUAGUACACUUCAGCCGUGAUACUUUCAUUCAAAGGCUAGCUUUAUACUAAUAUGUGAUACUUUCAUUCCAUAUUUGAGAGCCAUUGGAUAAGUAUAAAGCUAACCUUUACAAUAUGAGCUAGUUAGUUAGCCUUCACACACACAGUGCCUGCCUAUCAUGUAACCAUUGACAAUGAUACCCGACAAUUUAUUUGGAGAGAGGGUCCUCACUCAUUUAUUUGGACCUAUAACUUCAUUUCAUAAUAACUCCAUCACAUCAUUUUAUGUACCAUAGUUUAUUCAAUUUCAAAAAUUAGUACACGCAAUAACAUGUUUUAUCGUAAAAUAUACGAGGUUUUUUAGUAUAUUAGAAAUACGAGAUGAUGCACCACAUGUCAUUAUAUAAAUGAAGAGAAAUUUUUUUUUUUUUUAAAUGUGCCUCCACUUAUAUAAUGUAUUGUACCACCCAAAUUCUGAAUAAGUGAAAGAUCUCUCCAAAAAAUACAUAUGCAUGUUUUAUUCAAAAGGUAAGGAAUGAUGCGUCAUCAUCCCUAACACACUUUAUUAUAGUAGUAGCAUCAAUUGAGGCAGAGAAGUUAAUUAGAUGCUGUCCUUAAUGGAUGCACUAUAACCGUUGUCAUAGAACCUGCUCCAAAGCAUAACUCCUCCGUACUUGGGCGAAUUCUUAAUCGUUGGAAGAACUUGUGACUUGAGAGCGUCAGCAGGAAUAAAUCCGCCGCUUGGAGCGGCCUCAGGAGCUGCCGGUAACCCCAUGAACACCUGGGUGGCCGGAACCGAGGCCCAUUGGUUCCAACUGCUUAAAAGAGCGUCGGCAUUACCGUCUGCAUACUGGCAUGGGGGGUUGUUGUAGAACUGAACCCAAACGUAGUCAAAUAAACCGGUUUGGAUAGCGGCGUCCAGGUGAGCAUCCGGGAUCGGACAUUGUGGAGCUGCGGCUAAAUAGACCGUUUUUGCCUGUGCGUUGUGUCCGUUGAGUGACCUGGCGAGCUCAUCAUAGAACUGCGCACCACCCGCCUCAAUGUCGAAAUCAACGCCGUCCAAAACCGCGUCCCCAAGCGGGCGCGAAGCGGACUGACCACCUAAGAAGUUGUUCCAGAUGUAAUCAGCAACUUGCCUUGCAUCAUCAGCUGAAGUGAGAGAGUAACUUCCGGCGCCCCCUCCAAUCGAGAGGAGGACUUUUAUGUUUUUUGAUUGGCAGGUUCUGAUGUCAGCACUCAGCCCCGUGCAAGUACCACUAGGGGGGUCGCAGUGGCCGGCGAGGUUUAGGACAGGGGUUUGGUUGUUUCCGAAAGUAGUGAGGAAAGCUAUGUUAACAAACUGGUAGUUGCCUGAGUUGCAAGCAUCUGCUAGGGUUCCUUCGUUGCCGUUUUGGCCCCAAUAGAUCGCAAUUCCGGCGGCUUGGGAGGACUUGCAUGAAGAAAUGAGGAUCAAGAGGGACAGAGUUAGGGUUAGGGUUUGUGUUUUGGAUGCCAUUUUUGUAUGUGUUUUUUUGGGUUGUUGCUCAAAGUGCUUGGGAGGGGACAUGUACUUAUAGGUGGAGACUUACUGGUUAAGGUUUAGGGGAAGAAAAAUAUGACACACGAGUUCUGCUUGUAAGAAAUGGAUGCCAGUCUUCUGCUUGUCAAUCAAGUUAGCUAGGGCCUGUUUGGUCGAAGUUUCACAUGAAACGUCGAUUAAGUUAGGUCGGGUUGGAAAUGCUUUCUUCAAAAACCACUUACACACGUAAGCUCUUCUUAUAUUUUUCAUAAUAAUGCAAGUGCUUUUGGAAAAAACACGAGAGGUGUUUCGCAUGUGUUUUUUUCAAAAAGCACUUCAAAUAUUUUUUCUACCUAAAAAUCCAUUAAAGCUCCUUUACUUGUUUUAAAGAAACUUCCAAAAUAAUAUUUAAAGAAAAAUUACUUCUAGAGAGAAUUAUAACAUGCUAAUUGAGAGAUCCCGAAACUAGAAACUAGAUGGUUAUAGUGAAGCGUGACCUUAACUGCUUAAUUAGGUGAAAAAAGCCAUCAAAUUUGACAAAAAGUCUGAUGAAAGGUCAUAGCUGUAUGCAUAAUCCGUAGAUGAGAUAAUCAUGAAACAAUACGUGGGGAAUCAACACAGCCUUAUCAUCGUCAAAAAAUUUUAGUGUUCUAGAAACACGAUCUGAUAUACAAAAUGUUUUAACAUCAAUUGAACGUUUUGGAAAUUUGUGGAUAGAAACCAAAUGGAAUAUGCUUGCUAGCUGCUAUAUACAUCUUGGAUUUUAGCUGAGGUGGCCAUUGGCCAAGGACUGCGAUCUAAUCACGAUGCUUUAAUUUCGCAGUACGAAAAAAAUUUCAGAUAAAAUUUAGAACAUGUUUAGGGAGUGCUUUCAAAUCACUGAAAGCGAUUUUAGAAAGAAAAAAAAUGUUUAUACAACUAAUUUUUAAUAAAAAUGCAAGUUAAUUCUCUAAAAGUAUUGAAAUUAGUGCUUCUUUGAUGAAUUACUUUAAGUGCUUUUGGAGCUCAAAAAUAUUUUCUCAAGUGGUUUCAGUUAUUUAAAAACACUUUCUAAACGAGUUAAUGACUCGUGUAUGGCAACAUUUAGCAAGUAAUAGCUCUCAUGAAUUGGAUUGUGGUGAUGUGAAAAUGGGUUUGGGUAAGUUUAGUUUAGAUCAGUCACCAGUGUAUAAAAUAUCCAUGAAAUUGUCGAUAUUUUCAUCAAAAUAUCCUUAAAAUUUAGGGUCCAUAAGGAAAAGAAGGGUAAAAUAUAAAUUUCAACCUAUAUUGGCGAGAUAUAAGAAAACAAUGAAUAUCGACAAUAUUUACCAAUUAACUACAAAAUGUUGCUAAAACCUAUUGCAGAUUUUGAACUUUAGAAUUUUUUUUUUAUAAAUUUUUUCUUUAAUUUCGACUAAAUCUGAAUGAGUUGAUACUUGAUAUGCUUAUCCCAUUGUAAAUUUCCAUCAAAGACUUUCCAACUAAAUCGAUAUUUUAAACAUUGGUUUAGACCCACAUGUUUAAUAUCCAGUGCAUGCAAAUAGAAUGUCAAAUCUUUCAGAAAAACUUCAGUAGGACUGCCACUUAAGGGCAACUAGCAUAUUAAAGAGACCAAUGCAAGGUUGGAUGAGACUAAAAUACAUAAGAGCAAUUCCACCGGGGACCAAAUGUCCCAGCCUCCAGUCCAAAAACCAAGCCAGGCCUCUGUCAAUCAAGUCCACCCCAACAAACUGACUGGUACCCAGCCCGAGUUGGGCAAGAGCCCAGCCCAAAAGAGACUGAGACAGAAGCCGGGGAAGAAGCCUGGCGCGUGCACUUCACGUAGCCGUUUGGCGAGUGCCCGACAAGCUUUCAGACGCCGGGGCCCGCGUGCAGGCGCUGUCAGUCCCCCCCCCGAGUUGCGACGUGGCUACCUCUCUGCCGUUGGAUUUCCAACGGCUAGUUUUCUAGACCGUUGGAUUUCCAACGGUAAAAAAAUUUUAAAUUUUACUUUUAAACUAGACCGUCGGAUCAAAGAUCAACGGUCCACGUUUUUUUCACAAAAAGUAAAUUAAAAAAAAAAAAAAAGGGCCCAACGGUCAGAAAUAUGACCGUUGGCCACGUGGCAACUCCCUAGCUCUUGGAUUUGAAUAUUUUUCAAAUCCAACGGUCCAGAUUAAUUAACUAUAUUAAAAUUCAUUAAAAAUUAUUAAAAAAUACAGAAAAAUUAUUAAAAAAUACAGAAAAUUUUAAAAAAAUUACAGAAAAUUUUGAAAAAUGUUAAUUUUUUUUCCUAUAAAUACCUAACCCUCAUCUUCUACCUUUACACCACAUUCCAAUAUUUUCUACACUUUCUAUACUAUCUACAUUUCAAAAUAUUUUCUACACUUUAAGAGAAAAAAAAUGUCUUCGUGGAAGCUCAUUGAAGAUGUUACGUUGUGUGAAUGUUGGGUUCACACUACUCAUGAUCCGAUUACGGGUAAUGAGAUGGAUAAGCGAGAGAUGUGGAGUAAAAUUACGAAAGCGUUUUGUGAUGUACAUGGAGAAAACGCCAGAACUAGUCAAGGUCUUCAAGGUCGUUGGAAAAAACUCAAUGCAUCAUUUACUUGUUGGAAAAACGCCAUCUCUCAUGCUUCCGGUAACCUCCGUAGUGGGACAAGUUUAGCGGAUCAGGUGACAAUAUUUUUUAUUUAUUUAUAUGCAUUCCACUCACAUUAAUAUUUUGAUUUAUUUAAUUUCGUAUGUAAUUUUUAUCUUAUUUCUUAUGUAAUUUUUAUUUAAUUUCUUAUGUAAUUUUUAUUUAAUUUCUUAUGUCAUUUUUAUGUAAUUUAUAUGCAUUCCACCCGUAUUAAUAUUUUGAAUUUAUUUAUUUGUGUUACACCCGCAUUUUUUAACACUAUGUUAUCCCACUUUUUUAUAGACACUACAAGCUCAAGCAUUCUACAAUUCAAAGAACGGGAACAAAUCAUUCAAUAGAUUGGAAUGUUGGCAAAUUGUCAAAGAUUGCCCUAAAUACAAAAUUGUGGCAACUGGUCCAGAAGUUGUCAUGCACGGUAUGGGUCUACAUAGUUCUCCAGAACCAGACAUGGCCGAACAAGAAGCCGACACAUUUCAAGACACGGAAGGGACGGCUGAACAAGUGCCCGAGACCCAACCGACUCGUCAGUCCCUAAGGCCUCUAGGUAAAAAGGCGUCAAAGAAAAAAGGUAGUUCUUCCAAAAAAUGACUACACUAAAUAUAUGGAGGAACUUGCUCGCCAAGGUGAACUAAACUUGGCACGAGAAAAGGCUAGAGAUGAGGAAAAAGUUGCUGCUAUGGCAGCAAUAUUAGCAGCUACUGAGGCCCGUGAUGCGGCGGCUGAAAGACAAAGAGAAGUAGUUAAUCGAGAGAACGAGCUGGUUAGAGAAGCACUUCAUCGAGAAAAUGAAUUGCUUCGAGAAGAAAGGAUGGCUCAAGCAUCGUGAUCGUGACACUAUGAGCAAGUCUCUAGUAGGACUGUCUCCGAAUUCUAAAUAUUUUUUAGACAUCGGAAAAAGAGAUGCCAUGCGUAGGAGGCGUGCAAGAGAUGCGGAAACAAGUCAAGGGGGUUCUAGCUACACAAAUCAUGGCAACCAAGAUCCUAGCACCACAUAUCCUAACUCGAGAGACUUUAUUUAAUUUCUUAUGUAUUUUUAUGUAUUUUCUUUCUUUUUUCUAGUAGAACUUUAUUUAAUUUCUUAUGUUUUUUCUUUUUUUUAGGUUUGAACUUUAUUUAUUUUCUUAUGCAAUUUUAAUGUAAUUAUUUAUUUAAUUUCUUUUGUACUUUAUUUAAAACACAUGAAAUAAGAUUACACAUAAACUCACCAAAUAAAUUUAAAAACAAAACACAUUACAUAGAAUUACAUAAACUCACCAAAUAAACUUAAAAACAAAACACACUACAUAGAAUUACAUAAACUCACCAAAUAAACUUAAAAACAAAACACACUACAUAGAAUUACUUAAACUUAAAAAAAAAUACAAUUUAUUCUUCAACCACAAGCCUCAUUCUAAUUAUCUUCGCCUCCAUGCAAUCCCCACUGGUGCUCAAUCAAGUCAUUCUGGCGGGUUACGUGCCAGUAUGGCUCUUGCACAUUAGUGUACCGCUGAACGAUCAAUUCAUUGUAACGUCCAUCACGUUCCAACGGCUCGUGUUGCACUGGAUCUUCGGUCCCAUCAUGAGCACAAUAAAUACGUGUUCUUGAGUUGUUCAUCGGAUCUGGCUCAUAUUCAUCGACGGCAUCAUAAUCAUACUCAUCUUCAACAAUCAUGUUAUGGAGAAUAAUACACGUCAUCAUGAUGGAUCGAAGAGCCUCGACAUCAAACAUUCUAGCUGCAGCCCUGACAAUCGCCCAACGAGCUUGCAGGAUACCAAAACAACGCUCGACAUCCUUCCUACACCCUUCUUGACAUUUUGCAAAGUGUUUUUCCUUUUCAGUCUGUGGAUGUGGCACUGUUUUGACAAAUGUUGACCACCUUGGGUAAAUGCCAUCUGCAAGGUAGUAUGAUCCCUCGUAUUGGGUACCAUUAACCCAAUAUGUGCAUCUCGGCGAGUUUCCUUGCAGCAGUUCGUCGAACACUGGGGAUUGGGCAAGGACAUUUAGGUCAUUUUGAGCUCCUGGAACACCAAAAAAAGCAUGCCAAAUCCAUGUAUCAAAUGAAGCCACCGCUUCCAAAAUGAUGCUUUUGGCUCCUUUUCUGUCGCCAUAUGCUCCUUGCCACGCACUUGGACAGUUUUUUCCAAGUCCAGUGCAUGCAGUCGAUGCUUCCAAUCAUGCCAGGGAAGCCUCGCAUCUCACCCUUCCUCAGAAGCCUUCGCAUGUCCCUUGACGUGGGUGUCCGGAGGUACUCUUUGGUGUAGAGGGCUUCAAUUGCAGAGCAAAACCGCAUCAGGGACUCCAGAACAGUUGUUUUUCCCAUCCUCGCGAUCUCAUCCACUUGAUCUGCAGAUGCUCCAUAUGCAAGCAUUCGCAAGGAUGCCGUAAUUUUUUGCUCGGGAAUAAGACCUAGAACAUGAAAAGCAUCCUCUUUUUGCACAAAGUAUGAAUCAUUGUUGCAAAUAUCACUCAUGAUUUUGUUGAACAAAUGUCGUUGCAUUCUAAAACGCCGUCUAAACAUGAUCAGGGAAUAUGCUAUUGGGAAUAAAAUAGUCUUCCAAUAGAUUUUUACCUCGUUUUUCCCUUUUUCUAUCGAGGUUUGCAACACGUCUUGGUUUGGCUAUCUGACCCACGGCUUCCAUGACACGGCGGGAAUGUGAGGCCUUCUGCCUUCUAUGGUGAUCAUCCUCAUCCUCCUCCAUGAAGAAAGCCUCAUCUCCACCUCCACCUUCCUCGAGAUUGGCCAAUUCUGCCUGUUGUGCCAACAACCUUUGUUGUUGCUCUUGCAACUGCUUAUACACCCUUCUUGAAGAAGACAUUGUAAUAAGAACUCAAGAUUUGAAAAUGAUGAACAAGGAUUCUGAGCUAAAAAGAAGGAUUGAGCUUGGUGUGAGGAUGGAUGUAGGGAUGUAGGGUUUAUAUGGACAAAAAAAGAAAGGAUGAGGUUCUGGACAAUGCCACGUGGCACUACGUGAUUGGUUGAAAAUCUUAUCGAAAUCUUGGCUAAAUUAUUGUAAACCGGAAGUGACACGUGGCGUGUCAGGAUUGGUCGAGAAUAUUAUCGAAAAUCUAUCCACAAAAUAGUACGUUCGGAUAAUGACACGUGGCAUGACGUGAUUGGUUGAAAAUCUUAUCGAAAUCUUGGCUAAAUUAUUGUACCAUGGAAGUGACACGUGGCGUGUCGGGAUUGGUUGAAAAUAAUAUCGGAAAUCUAUUCACAAAAUAGUACGUUCAGAUAAUGACACGUGGCGUGACGAGAUUGGUUAAAAAUCCUAUCCGAAAUUAAAACUAUUUUAUUUUUUUAUUCUUUAUUUUAAAUGGGUUAAAAAUCUUAUCCGAAAUAAACUUAAAAAAAAAACACACCAAAUAAAUGCGCUGGGUGCUAGCGCAUUUUUUUAGGGGUGGAGAUGCCUUGGCCUAUUACUGUUCACUCCAGUCUAUUACUGUUCAUUUGAGUGGAUAAAUGCGCUGGGUGCUGGCGCAAAGUCCACAGGGGUGGAAUUGCUCUAAAGUCUCGUGUUUUGAUGAGAUGUGGUCUACAAAUGAUAUAGCAUGUGCCCUACGAAAAAUGAGAUCGGAUUACCUAUUUGAAGCUUCUCUAGUAUGAAAAAUUCAAGAGGGAUGUGACGGGUCCGGAAAAUAAAAAAUCACACAUUUUUAUUAAUAAUUUUUUUGUUCGAAUUCGGAAAUGUAUAGAACUGAACAAAUGGAAUAGUAGCUCAGUGAUACCAACAAUUUCAUGUUGCAAAUCACAAAACAAAAAAAAAGGAACUGUUUUACACAAAAUUAAUGACAAUUAGAGUUGAACAACAGAAGCUUGCACUUUAAACGGUUUUUUUCUGCUGCUUUUGGUAUGUAUAUGCUUUUUCCAUGUCUCGAUGUAGUGCCAGUUCACAGGUCAUCAUCCUGGAACAAUGCUUUCGAAACAGAGCCGCACGGCUGGCUACUGUAUUCUCGGUAAUCUUCAUCGUCAUCCCAGCUGCGUUGCGAGCAUGAACGUUUGAUUCCUGUCAUUGGGGUUUCACAUACUCUGUCAUCACAUGAACCUCUAUGAUCCUUCCUUUUAAACAGCUUUCGAAGCGGAUUUAACUUUGGUUUCAAUGGUUUCAGCUGUUUUGGGGCCCAAACUCUCUGCAGAUCGGGCAUCCAUCUUGUGGAUGAAGCGAAUCUCCAAGCCCUCUCUCUCCUCUCUUGAGCUUCAAGUAACUUGCGAGCAUGGUCGUCGUUUUGUUUGAUCUCUUCAGCGCUCGGUCUUCCAAUAUCAGUUUUCAGCGGACGAAGAGACUCACCUUCUGCUGAUAAUGAGUCCCAGAUUCUAUAACUUUCAUCCACUUCGACACUCUUUGGUUUUUCUUUACAGGAUUGAUUGCUAUCCUCACUGUUGAGUAAACUAAUAGGGAGUUCUUCCUCAUCGGCAAACAGUAGCAAAUCCAUUUUUGUAUAGAUUUUGUGAACCACAUCUUCAAGUGUCUCACAGUACCUGAAAAUGUCCAAAUUCAAAGAUUAAUCUACCUGCUUAAUUCUCCAUCUCAAACAAAAAUUGAUCACCUGCAUUUGUACAUCAGGAAACUAAAUGCAGGAAUGAAUUAUUUAAGCUCCAUCAUUUCAAGGAUCAUACCGUAGGCUAAUAUGCUAUUGCAGAAGUUGUAUAAACAUAUUCCUCACUCGUUCAGAAAAACAUGCCUACGAUGUGCGGAUAACUGGCUUAUACCCUGUAAAUCUACACUAAUAAGGAAACACACUUAACUCAUCUAAGAUUAUAAAGAUAAUCACUUUCCUUUUUUAGCAUUAUUGCAAAGGUAAGUAGGAGAGCAUUGGAUGGGCAGUAAUAUCCCACAGGAAAGUGGAAACAGUGGCACCGGAAAUGUGUAUUUGAUGAGACAUGAACGGUAGACUGAAUGAGUGUCGAGAAAGCCAUAACGACUCGGUAAAACAUCCAUUAUAUAAAGUAAAGAAUAAUGCGAAAGGCAGGGGUUUUCAACUCUGGUACAGAUUUAUUACCUGCUUUUUAUGAUCCUUUCAACAUAAUCAUCUACACUCCAGUCACCAAAGAAGCCCUCCAGAUGACAUCGAAUUUUCUCCAAAAACGAGCAAAUCUGUUUUACAAACUUCUGUUUCAUAGAUUCUGCAAUACUUGCACCAACCUCUGAUUGUAGUAUCUCCAUACGGAAAAAUAUCUGCAAUUCAUAUCUAGUACUAGGUGAAGGAAAAGUGUAAAUGUAAUUGGAGACAAAUUUUCAUAUUGGUAGAGUUAUAACUGGAUUAAUGCAUAAUACAGAAGACAGUUCAGUUAUAAAUGAGAAAGGAUACUCUCGAACUAUUUUUCCAGAAGUCAGUCCUUCAGAUUCUGAAUCGGAUGCUUUAACAAACGGGCCGGAGCUUUUCUGCCUUGCAGUGAUAUCCUUGGGAUCUCUCAGUAGAAGUUUUAACACCUCAGCAGAAACCAAAUCAUCAGUAGCACCAGAUUUUACAAGGGAAGUUUGACUCUCUGAAAGGGCUUCUGUUUCCUGCUUUUUAUUUAACCAAUAUAUGGAUGAAUUCACAAGCCGAUAUGCCAAUGCCCCCAAGUCUACUGCUUCAUAUUCAAGCCCCUGUUGUAUCUUGUUGGAUAGACUACUGAAAAAAUCUUCCGACGUUUCUGAUCUAAAUUCCAAAGCAGCUUCAUCUUGUAUGCCAGAAGCCACAGUCAAAGAAUUUUCUCCAAUGGAAGGAGAUGAAGAAAUUGGCUGUUCACUUUCAUGGUGCAAGUUAUCCAACCUAUUGUCCAUCCCUUUUCUAUUGAGCUGGUCUGCCUGGGAUUCUUUCUCCACUAUUAGACCACGAUCGCUAGACUUCUUAAUUUGUUUCAUCCAGCAUUUCAGAAAUCGUAUCUUUUUUGAGUUAUAACAUUCCCUGGCAAAGUAAACCUCUUCCAAACCUAUCUCUGAGUGUUCAAAUGCUGCCUUGUAGAAGGCACUCCAUGUGAGAUCUUGUAGCAACUGUGAAUUUCUUUUGUUAUUUCUCUUCCUUCCCUCCUUGCCUGCAGAAUGCUUAUUGGAUGGCCCAGUUUGGUCCAAAUCAGCAUUCGGUUCGCAAAUCCCAUUCUUCAUAUUUCGACUUGAUUGGUCUGCUUUUGCUCCACCAAUAUCAUGCACUUUUGUCUGAGGGUGAAAUCCUUCAUCCACAAUAAACAGCCGAGCCGAAGAAACUGUGAAAGGUUUGAGAAUUCCGGUAGACGAUACACCACUGUCACUUGAAAGAGACACUAAUGCUCCAUGACCAUUCCUAUAUAAGAAACUCAAGAGAAUCUGCCAAAUGGGUGCUGACUUUCUCUUUGCAUUCUCACCCAAGUCCACUGCUACCACUUCUAGAACCUUAUCUGCAUAAUAAUUGCCAGAACUUUCUUUUCCAUCUUCACCAGGUUUUCCCAAAACAUCACAGACAAGGACUGGAUCAGAUAAGUGCCCCUUGAAUUUCAGAAACUCAUUGUACUUUUGCAAAGCCUUAACCUGGAACUUUGUCACGCCUUUGACAAAAUACCCCCAGAACAAUUCCUUCAGUUUACCACCCUUUGUUUGUGAAUUCAUGAUUUCUAGGGAAAAGAAAGCAUCAUCAGCUGCAUUUCUAGGCAACUUCUUCAAAUCAACCAAUUGAAGAUCACAAACCUUGCAUUCCAAAGGCUUCCCACUUACAUCUAAGAUCUCGAGACUCAACUGCGCAUUGACUUUCUUAUGACUAUCAUCACAACCGAAAAACUUGGAUGAAAUCCCUAUCUCGGGAUAAAUCAAACCAAAGGAAACAAGAGCAGAGCCAAGAAUAAUCCAACCAGUCGAGCAAAAUCCCCAUCCCAAACUCCUAACCCCACUCUCGAAAAACCCAAAUCUCGUCUUAUCCUCAUCGUUCCCAACCUUACCCUCACCACAUUCUAAUUCAUACCUGACAUCAACCCAGCUACACUGAAUAUCUCUACUCACAAAUGCUUCAUUCACAUUCUCAAAGAAACCCCUAAAUCUCUCGGAAAACGCUUUCACAUUUUCCAAAGACUCGUCACCCACACCCACUGUUAGGUCACAACUUCUAAAUUCCCUUUCUCGACCUGCUAGUAGCUGAUAGUAAUGGCGGUGAGUGAGUGGGAAGGAAGAUAGAGAGAGAUAGAAAGUUUCUUGUAAUAUUGUUUUUCUAAUUCAAUCCUGCAGAACAAUGCCACAAUUUGGUUCUUAUACAACCAUCCUUCUCACAAUGCCAGCUGGCUACUAACAAUAACGACAUGUAGCUAAAUAGUUUUCCACUAUUAUUCUAACCACUAUUAUAAUCAUAACACUACCCCUCCCUUACAAAAUAAACCUUGUCCUCAAGGUUAGAAUUAAAGACUGAAAUCAGGAAAUCUGGCAGCAAACUCGUCAUAAUCCUCCCAUGUAGUUUCGUCCUCUUUGUUGUUCUUCCACUGGAUUAACAACUGAACUCCAGCAGCUUGGCCCUUCUUGUAGACCCUCAUUUGUAGCACCUUGAGUGGUUCGAGUGGUAGCAACCCAUCAUCAGUGACAGUAGGCAAGAAUGGAGUUAUGUGACCUUGUCUCCCAAGUGCUUCUUCAAGCAACUAACAUGAAAGACUGGAUGAAUUUUUGAAUUCUCAGGCAGUUUCAAUCGGUAGGCAACCUUCCCAAUAUUUUCCAAAACCUCAUAAGGACCAUAGUACCGGGGAUGAAGCUUAUGGUAAGCAUGAGAUGACAAAGAUUGCAAUUGAUAGGGAAUUAAUUUCAAAUACACCAAAUCUCCUUCCUCGAAAACCCUCUCACUCCGAUGCUUAUCUGCUUGUGUUUUCAUCCGGUUCUGAGCUACUAGUAAAUUGGUCCUGAGCAUUGCUAAUAUUUUGUCCCUAGUUAGCAGCCCUUGCUCCACUAUAUCCAACUUAGCAGUGCCAAGCUCAUAAGACGCGAUGUGUGGUGGUGGAUAACCAUAGACCACUUCGAAGGGGGUGAACUUUGAGGAAGUGUGGUAGGAAGUGUUAUAGCUCCAUUCUGCCCAUGGAAGCCAGUGGAGCCACUUCUUAGGUUGACAGCUAGUGAAGCAUCGCAAGUAAGUUUCAAGGCACCGAUUCACCACCUCUGUCUGGCCAUCACUCUGUGGAUGGUAACCCGAGCUCAUACACAACUUGGAGCCUUGCAACUUAAAAAAAUUCUUUCCAAAAAACACUCAUGAAAAUGGUGUCCCUGUCACUCACAAUGGUAGAGGGCAUCCCAUGGAGUUUAAACACAUUAUCAACAUAUUCCUGAGCUACCAUGCUUGCCGUAUACGGAUGUGCUAAGGGGAUGAAAUGAGCAUACUUGGACAGCCUGUCUACGAUUACCAGGAUCACUGAUUUGCCUUUGCACAGAGGUAAACCAGUGAUGAAAUCCAUGCUUAUAUCCUUCCAUACAUGUGUAGGGAUCGGCAGAGGUUGAAGUAAUCCGGGAGGGGAAAUGGUUUCAUACUUAUUUUGCUGGCAUUCCCGACAUUCAGCCACCCAUGACCUGAGAUCUUUCUUCAUUCCUACCCAAUAGAAGCCCCUCUUCAAUAUCUGAUAAGUCUUUAGAACCCCUUUCAUGGCCUGCACUUGGAGAAGAGUGAUGUUCCUCAAAGACCUUCCUUUUCCAACUUGAAUCUGGGCUAAGCACGAUCCGUCCUUUGUAUUUGAGGAAACCGUUGUCUAAAUGGUACUUGGACAGAUUGGGGUCAAUUGCAGCAGCUUAAGAAUAUGCUAACACCUUCUGCACCUUGCUUUGAAUCCAACUAUCUUGUUCUAACCCUCUCCGAAGUUCAUCUAGCCACCCGAAGUAGGGGUAUGUGAUAGCUUUGCACUCCAAUAAGUCACUGAGAGGUUUCUCUUGUAAUUGAGACGAACCAACUACUCGAGAUAAGGCAUCAGCCAUUAUGUUGUCAUUGCCUUGCCUAUAUUGUAUCUCAUAAUCAAAUCCCAACAACUUGGCCACCCAUUUCUGUUGGAACGGGGUAGUAGUUCUUUGACUCAGAAAGUAUUUCAAGCUGCUAUGAUCUGUCUUUAUGAUGAAAUGGCGCCCUUGAAGGUAGUUUUGCCAUUUUUUGAUAGCACUAACAAUGGCAAUCAACUCUCUUUCGUAUGUAGACAAUGCUUAAUUCCGUGGUCCCAAUGCUUGACUUGUGAAAGCUAUAGGUCUGCCAUUCUGUUGCAACACAGCCCCUAUUCCAUUGCCAGAUGCAUCACAUUCCAAAGUGAAGGGAAUAGCAAAAUUGGGUAAGGCUAAUAGCUGCGGAGAAGUCAUUGUUCUUUUUAAUGCUUGGAAAGCUGCCGUGGCUUCAGGGGACCAAUUGAAACCAUCAUUUUUUGUUAGUUGAUACAAGGGUUGACACACCUUGCCAUAACCGGGGAUGAAUUUUCUAUAAUACCCUGAGAGCCCGAGAAAUCCCCUCAACUCUUUGACAUUUUUCGGUAUCGGCCAAUCUAUAAUUGCUUGAAUUUUAGUAGGAUCUGCAGCCACCCCAUCACGAGAGACGAUGUGCCCCAAGUAUUCCACCUGUGAUUGGCCAAAAGAGCAUUUCGAUUUCUUCACUGCUAAUUGGUGUUUCUGUAAUAACUCCAAAGUUUGGUGCAAGUGUGAAAGAUGGUCCUCCCAGGUCUUGCUGUACACCAAAAUGUCGUCAAAGAACACCAAGAUGAAUUUCCGGAGGUAAGGCUUAAAAAUGUCAUUCAUAAGGGCUUGGAAAGUGGCAGGAGCAUUUGUAAGACCAAAGGGCAUGACUAAGAAUUCAUAAUGCCCUUGGUGAGUUCGGAAGGCAGUCUUUUCCACAUCGGAGGGACAUACGGAUCUGAUGAUAUCCAGACCUAAGAUCAAGCUUAGAAAAAUACUGAGCGCCAUGCAAUUCAUCUAACAAAUCAUCCACUAAUGGAAUAGGAUAUUUAUCCUUAAUGGUAAUGCUGUUCAAUUCACGAUAGUCCAUGCAAAGCCUCCAAGUGCCCUCCUUCUUCUUGACCAAGAGAACUGGAAAUGAAAAGGGACUAUGACUUGGCUGGAUGAAUCCAGCAUCUAAAAGUUCUUGCACAGCUCGUUCAAUCUCAGUUUUUUGCAUAGGACCAUAAUGGUAUGGUCUAAUACUCGGAGGCUUGGAACCAGGAAGCAAUGGAAUCUGGUGAUCAUGAGCCCGUGGAGGUGGUAAGGUAGUAGGAGGCUUAAAAACCGUUUCAAAUUGCCUGAGCAUACCCUGCAGCUCAAUGAGUUGCUGGGGAUUCAAGUUGGAUGCCUCCAACGGAUUAGUUUCCAUUGAAUACAAUAAGACGCCCCAAUUAGAGUAUUUAAACUCUUUUUCAAGCUGUUGACAAACAGUAUCCUGUACCAAGUACGCUGGAGCAGUGGAAUGAACAAGUUUAUAGUGGUCUUUUCCCACAGAAAAUUCCAUGGUUAAGUUGUGAAAAUCCCACAAAACUGGACUCACAGAUGAGAGCCAUUUCACACCCAAUACAACAUCGCAACCCCCUAGAGGAAGUGCGUAGAGGUUAGUGUGGCAGCGAUAUGCACCCAAUUCCAAGGGAAUUUGUUGGCAACAGCCUUGACUUCGGACUUUACCCCCAUCGGCAAUCAUGACAUCGAAGGGUUUGGUGGUGUGACAAGGCCACCCGAGCUGCUUAAGCAACCUAGAAUCCACAAAAUUGUGGGUGCUACCAGAGUCAAGUAGUAUGGUAACAGGUAGAGUGUGAAGCACACCAGCCACUUUCAUGGUUUGUACCGUGGAGGGCUCAGUAGUGCCAUAGAACGCACAAGCACUCAACUCCAUGCUUGAUAGGGAAAGAUCAAUAGGCUCCAGUAAUUCACACUCUGUAGGUUCCAGCAAUUCACACUCGGUAGGCUCCAACUCAUUACAAACAUCAAGCAUAAGGAGCUGUUUAUUAUGGACACAUUUGUGCCCUCGAACCCACUUUUCAUUACAGAACCAACACUCGCCCUUGUCCUUCUUCCGUUGAACUUCCUCGGGGGUAAGUUUCUUAUAAGGGAGGGUUUGAGGAUGAGGCCUGGUAAGGGAAGGUAGAGGUAAGGCGAGAGGAGGUUUGAGUGGGGGAUGAGGUUUUGGGGGAGAUGGUUUCAAGUCCGUGAGUUUAGCAUUUAAUUGGGCAGCAAAGGAAAUGGCCUCAUGAACUGAGGAAGGGCGAAGCAAUUUAACAUCGUAACGCAAUUCCUUCUUGAGACCCCCCAGAAAGCAACUCUUUAAGAGAAUAGGACCAACAUCAUAGGUUCGAGUGGCAAGGCGCCGAAAUUCCACAAUAUAAUCACGAAGAGGGCCGGUUUGGCGGAGUUUGAAUAGCGACUCAGUGCAGUCCUCAAACUCCGGUGGACCAAAUUCCUGGCACAAAGCAGUCGUGAAUUCACCCCAGGUGGGAGUGGAAUGUACACAAUCGCGCCAACGAAACCAGUACAGCGGCUCAUUCUUGAAGUGGAAGGAGGCGGUCAAAACCUUCUGAUUCUCCGGAGUGUGAUAAUAAGCAAAAUAUUGUUCGGCCUUAUAGAUCCACGCUGAGGGAUCAUCACCGUCGGAGAAACGGGGAAAAUCCAGACGAUGUGACCGCUGCGGGCGAGGAGUAAAACCGCCGCCUUCAAAAGAAUCACGGCGCUGAAACCGUGGAGUGUCGAGACAACGAAAAUCGCCAUCAUCGGUCACAAUGGGAGGAGGAAUAUGUGGAUCUGGCACUAGAGGUGGUGGUGCAGUCGAAGAGCCAGCACCGCCUUGAGGACCAGGGUCGCGAUGGAGAUGCUCCAGGAGAAGGGCGAAUUUGGUUUCGAGAGCGGUGAAGCGGGUGUCGGAAUUGGCGUUGGAAGUCUGGAUCAGCUGAGGAAUGGCUCCCAUGGCUUCCAGAGUAGCUUCCACGGCGGAGAGGCGCGAUUCAACAGUGGACAUUCGAGAAUUUGUGGUGUGGCGGGGCAUACAAGAGGGAGACUCAGGAUCGAGAGGCUGAUACCAAUUGUUAGGUCAAAACUUCUAAAUUCCCUUUCUCGACCUGCUAGUAGCUGAUAGUAAUGGCGGUGAGUGAGUGGGAAGGAAAAUAGAGAGAGAUAGAAAGUUUCUUGUAAUAUUGUUUUUCUAAUUCAAUCCUGCAGAACAAUGCCACAAUUUGGUUCUUAUACAACCAUCCUUCUCACAAUGCCAGCUGGCUACUAACAAUAACGACAUGUAGCUAAAUAGUUUUCCACUAUUAUUCUAACCACUAUUAUAAUCAUAACACCCACAUUCGGGAAUUCUGUCAAACAGUUUGCAGACACACAGACGGGCGAAAACAGAACUACCAAAUUAGACCUCACAGCAACCGAAUCACUAUUCGAGAACAUACCCAUCAUUGGAUCGCAGAUCACGGGGUCCCAGGCGUAGUCGUGCACGAGCUGGCGCAAGGAGACGGCGAAAUGCGGGGAGGGAAUUGAGGGUGUGGAAGAGGGAAUUGAAAGUGGGGCCGGGGAGGUGGAAAGAGAGGGAGAGAGAAGUGGGGAGCUUGGAGGAGGAGAGCAGCGGAGAGAGGGAGGAGAAGAAGGGUCUGAAGGCGAAGAGAGAGGCGGAGAGAAGAAGGAAGGAGAGGAUGGUUUUGACGGCGGCGAGGAGGGCGGUGAGAAAUGGAGCUGGGUUUUGGAGGUGGAGGAAUGGGUUGAGGUCUAGGAGGAGGACGAUGCGCACAGUGCCUGCCUAUCAUGUAAAACCAUUGACAAUGAUACAAGACAGUUUAUUUGGACCUAUAAAACUAUAUUUAUGUAAAACUAUAUUUUAUUCAAUUUCAAAAAUUAGUACAUGCAAUGACAUGUUUGAUCGUAAAAAAAAAAAAAAUGAGAAAUUUUCAGUGUAUCAGAAAUACGAAUCGGUAAAAAAUCUCUCCAAAAAUACAUAUGCAUGUUUUAUUCAAAAGGAAAGGAAUGAGGCGCCAUCAUCCCUAACACACUUUAUUACAAGUAGUAUCAUCCAUUGAGGCAGAGAAGUUAAUUAGAUGCUGUCCUUAAUGGAUGCACUAUAACCGUUGUCAUAGAACCUGUUCCAAAGCAUAACUCCUCCGUACUUGGCCGAAUUCUUAAUUGUUGGAAGGACUUGUGACUUGAGAGCAUCAGCAGGAAUAAAUCCGCUGCGCGCGGCAUCAGUAGACGCCGGUAUCCCCAAGAACACCUGGGUGGCCGAAACCGAGGCCCAUCGGUUCCAACUGCUCAAAAGAGCGUCGGCAUUACCGUCUGCAUACUGGCAUUGGGCUAGGGGGUUGUUGUAGAACUGAACCCAAACGUAGUCAAAUAAACCGGUUGGAUAGCGCCGUCUAGGUGAGUAUCCGGGAACGGGCAUUGUGGAGCUGCGGCUAAAUAGACCGUUUUUCCCUGUCCGUUGUGUCCUUUGAGUGACCUGGCGAGCUCGUCGUAGAACUGCGUACCACCCAACUCAAUGUCGAAAUCGACGCCGUCCAAAACCGCGUCCCCAAGCGGGCGCGAAUCUGACUGACCACCUAGGAAGUUGUUCCAGAUGUAAUCAGCAACUUGCCUUGCCUCAUCAGCUGAAGUGAGAGAGUAAGUUUCGGUGGCCCCUCCAAUCGAGAGGAGGACUUUUAUGUUUUUUGAUUGGCAGGUUCUGAUGUCGGCACUCUGCCCCGUGCAAGUACCACUAGCGGGGUUGCAGUGGCCGGCGAGGUUUAGGACAGGGGCUUGGUUGUUUCCAAAAGUUGAGAGGAAAGCUAUGUUAACAAACUGGUAGUUGCCCGAGUUGCAAGCUUCUGCUAGGGUUCCUUCGUUGCCGUUUUGGCCCCAAUACGUCGCGAUUCCGGCGGCUUGGGAGGACUUGCAUGAAGAAAUGAGGAUCAAGAGGGACAGAGUUAGGGCUAGGGUUUGUGUUUUGGAUGCCAUUUUUGUAUGUGUUUUUUUGGGUUGUUGCUCAAAGUGCUUGGGAGGGGACAUGUAAUUAUAGGUGCAGGAGACUUACUGGUUAAGGUUUGGGGGAAGAAAAGUAUGACAGACGUGUUCUGCAGGUAAGAAAUGGGUGCCAGUCUUCCUCUUGCAACCGCGUCAAUCGAGUUAGCUGGGGCCUGUUUAGUCCAAGUCUUCCAUAAAACGCCGAUUAAGUUAGGUUGUGUUGAAAAUGCUUUCUUCAAAAAACACUUACACACGUAAGCGCUUC